GAUGAACGCUAGCGGCAGGCCUAACACAUGCAAGUCGAGGGGCAGCACAUAAAGUGGUUUACUACUUUUGGUGGCGACCGGCGGACGGGUGCGUAACGCGUAUGCAACCUGCCUCCAACAGGGGGAUAACGGAGAGAAAUUUCCACUAAUACCCCAUAAUCUCAGAAUCGGCAUCGGGUUUGGUUGAAAACUCCGGUGGCUGGAGAUGGGCAUGCGUUGUAUUAGAGAGUUGGUGAGGUAACGGCUCACCAAGUCAACGAUACAUAGGGGGACUGAGAGGUUAGCCCCCCACACUGGUACUGAGACACGGACCAGAAUCCUACGGGAGGCAGCAGUGAGGAAUAUUGGUCAAUGGGGGCAACCCUGAACCAGCCAUGCCGCGUGCAGGAAGACGGCUCUAUGAGUUGUAAACUGCUUUUACAAGGGGAUAAAUCGGUGUACGUGUACACCGUUGAAGGUACCUUGGGAAUAAGGAUCGGCUAUCUCCGUGCCAGCCGCCGCCGUAA
Molecule: ribosomal RNA, 506 nt
Filed under: uncultured bacterium
Lineage: Bacteria
Description: partial 16S ribosomal RNA
Rfam family: Bacterial small subunit ribosomal RNA
Source: RNAcentral